Carya illinoinensis is the source of this 509-nucleotide long non-coding RNA. RefSeq lists it as uncharacterized. The transcript has 2 exons. NCBI's taxonomy places the organism in Eukaryota, Viridiplantae, Streptophyta, Magnoliopsida, Fagales, Juglandaceae. The record is from RefSeq and is a predicted model, not a curated record.
AAAGCCACAGAUUUAUGAUUAUUUCCUCCACGCCAUUGUAGUCACAAAGAGCCUCCAUGACCCAGACAGUCCCUCCAUCCCGCACGGUAGCAGCUGUUUUUCUUGUCUCAAGCCUACUGGCAGCUUCACCAUCAACAACCACCCGAGACAUUCUCAGCCCCUAGAUUUUUGGUAUUUCUCAAGUUGAGAUAUGAGAUCACCCAGGUUGAACAGAUCUUUGUGGUGGGGAACUCUGGCAAACAUUUUGAGAUAAUUCUAGUUAAGUGGAUUACUUGUUUAAUUCCAGCAUGUUUAGAGCUGAUUUUAGGAAACCACACAUAUACACACAAGUGCACAUCUUCCACUUGAUCAUAUCUGGAAUAGAUAAAAGGUGUUGGAUGUAUGCCCUUGAAGCAUUAUGGGCUCUGGCACUGGUGGACCAUGCUAAAAGGUGUGGUCUUACUCAUGAUAAAUUUUGUGGCUUGGGAUUGUAUUUGGAUUAAUGAGAGAGCUGUACAUGUGUUCUCGUA